Molecule: transfer RNA, 84 nt
Filed under: Methanobacteriota archaeon
Lineage: Archaea; Methanobacteriati; Methanobacteriota
Also listed under: 1 other name
Description: Euryarchaeota archaeon tRNA-Lys
Rfam family: tRNA
About the family: Transfer RNA (tRNA) molecules are approximately 80 nucleotides in length. Their secondary structure includes four short double-helical elements and three loops (D, anti-codon, and T loops). Further hydrogen bonds mediate the characteristic L-shaped molecular structure. tRNAs have two regions of fundamental functional importance: the anti-codon, which is responsible for specific mRNA codon recognition, and the 3' end, to which the tRNAs corresponding amino acid is attached (by aminoacyl-tRNA synthetases). tRNAs cope with the degeneracy of the genetic code in two manners: having more than one tRNA (with a specific anti-codon) for a particular amino acid; and 'wobble' base-pairing, i.e. permitting non-standard base-pairing at the 3rd anti-codon position.
Source: RNAcentral
GGACGCGUAGCCAAGCGGUCCACGGCACCACACUCUUAACGUGGCGGCGCAAGCCGAUCGCAGGUUCGAAUCCUGCCGCGUCCA